CCUACGGGUGGCAGCAGUGGGGAAUAUUGCACAAUGGGCGCAAGCCUGAUGCAGCCAUGCCGCGUGUGUGAAGAAGGCCUUCGGGUUGUAAAGCACUUUCAGCGGGGAGGAAGGCGUUAAGGUUAAUAACCUUGUCGAUUGACGUUACCCGCAGAAGAAGCACCGGCUAACUCCGUGCCAGCAGCCGCGGUAAUACGGAGGGUGCAAGCGUUAAUCGGAAUUACUGGGCGUAAAGCGCACGCAGGCGGUCUGUCAAGUCGGAUGUGAAAUCCCCGGGCUCAACCUGGGAACUGCAUUCGAAACUGGCAGGCUAGAGUCUUGUAGAGGGGGGUAGAAUUCCAGGUGUAGCGGUGAAAUGCGUAGAGAUCUGGAGGAAUGCCGGUGGCGAAGGCGGCCCCCUGGACAAAGACUGACGCUCAGGUGCGAAAGCGUGGGGAGCAAACAGGAUUAGAUACCCGAGUAGUC
This 465-nucleotide ribosomal RNA is filed under the name uncultured Klebsiella sp. RNAcentral's name for it is "bacterial SSU rRNA". It matches the Rfam family "Bacterial small subunit ribosomal RNA", at positions 338 to 795 of the family's 1533-position model. Lineage: Bacteria; Pseudomonadati; Pseudomonadota; Gammaproteobacteria; Enterobacterales; Enterobacteriaceae. The record is from RNAcentral.